CUGAAACAUGUUUCCAAUGAGCAUAAGAAAUAAAUGGCACAGGAGAUGGUGUUCGCAUUGGAAAGAACAAAGAAUAAAUCUGAAAAGAAAAGAAAAGAAAAAAAAUCCUCGGGAGAAAGAGAAAAUCAGCAAUAUACCCUUUUACAUCAACCCAAAAAUACUUUGGAGGACACGUUAAGCCAAGAAGGAAAAUAAAAAAGGAAAGAGAAAAUGAAAUGGGGGAGGGAUCCAUUUUUGAGAAACUGGGGUGUUAAAUGAGCCUAUCACACAAAUGUGACCCUAUAUAUACACAGCUUGUGUUGGCAGUGAUGUAUAAGCUCUGAAAUGUGUUUUGAGGUAGAGUCAAAUGAUUAUCCUUGGAAUUUUUUAACAAGUUCAGUGACCACCAAGAAUCAAUGUUUACCAGGCUUAUGGUAAAUGGCAUGAAGGCUUAUGAAUGAGAAUCUGUAUAAACAGACUGACAUAGAAAGCACAUGUUAGAAUUAACAUAAAUUUUAAAGCAACUGUGCUUACAUGCAUAAAGCACUAAUGACAAGCUGGGAUUUACUGUGAGGAAACAGGAUAUUAUAAAAAACUGGGAAAGUUGACUUGAAAAAAACAAAGCAAAUCUAGAUUUUGAGCAUUCAAUAACCAAAAUUAAAAACCGUAAAAAAAAAAAAUCAUAUUUGGAAGUGGAUUGGGAUAGCAGAUUUCACACAGAGUAGAAAGAACUAGUGAACUAGAAGAUCAUAUCAAGUUAUUCAGAAUGCAACAGUGAGGGGGGCGGUGACUGACAAUAUAGGAAAGAAAAUACAAGGCAUGAGGAUUAUAGAAGAAGGAUCCAGUGUAUGUUUGAAAUGAGAUCUGGAAGUGAAAAUAAAGAAUACAGGGCUAAGACAAGUUUGAAGAGAUGACAACUGUGGACUUGCAAGUAUUAAUGAAUGAUGUCAAGCUGGAAUUAAUACUUCAAUGAUUCCUUUGGAGAACACUUUCAUCCAAUCUUCAUCCCUUUUUAGAAAUUUUUGCUCUCACAAUACUCUGUGGUUAACACAGUGCUUAUUACACUUUUUC
RNAcentral lists this long non-coding RNA (1050 nucleotides) under Mustela putorius furo (domestic ferret). RNAcentral's name for it is "lncRNA (ENSMPUG00000025705.1)". Lineage: Eukaryota; Metazoa; Chordata; Mammalia; Carnivora; Mustelidae. The record is from RNAcentral.